UACGUAGGGGGCGAGCGUUGUCCGGAAUUACUGGGCGUAAAGGGCGCGCAGGCGGCCGUGUAAGUCCGCUGUGAAAGACCGGGGCUCAACCCCGGGGUGUCAGCGGGGACUGCUCGGCUGGAGUCUCGGAGAGGGAGGCGGAAUACCUGGUGUAGCGGUGGAAUGCGUAGAUAUCAGGUGGAACACCGAUGGCGAAGGCAGCCUCCUGGACGGGUACUGACGCUGAGGCGCGAAAGCGUGGGGAGCGAACGGG
RNAcentral lists this ribosomal RNA (253 nucleotides) under uncultured bacterium. RNAcentral describes it as "partial 16S ribosomal RNA". It matches the Rfam family "Bacterial small subunit ribosomal RNA", at positions 524 to 776 of the family's 1533-position model. The record is from RNAcentral.